Long non-coding RNA from Rhincodon typus (whale shark), 1188 nucleotides. RefSeq lists it as uncharacterized. Lineage: Eukaryota; Metazoa; Chordata; Chondrichthyes; Orectolobiformes; Rhincodontidae. The record is from RefSeq and is a predicted model, not a curated record. The transcript is spliced from 6 exons.
UCUGUGAGAAUACCAGGAAGGUAUUAAUGCGGCCAAGGCAAGCUCGCUUCCACCAAUCCGUCAAUGUGCUAAGGUUGUGAGAUCCACUGCCAAGACUCACCACGAUUUUUAAAAAAAAGUCAGCGUGCAACUUAACUGUUUAGGGAGAGGUGGUAGCAGCCCAGUGCUAGUCUCUGUGGGUGUGUUUGGCCAAGUUAAUGUGAACACCAAGUGUUUACAAGUCCCGCCAGUGCACUACCGGCUGUUAAAGGGGUAACCGUAUGGAACCUGGUCUGCGUAUUUAAUACUCCAACUGGGUAAAACAGACACAGGGUGAAGGAAGGUAGAUGUGAAGCUGAAAUGGAUCGACGGGGAGAGCCAUGUGACUCCUAGGAGACAUCCUGCGGGAUCAUGUGUCCAUUUUGAGUGAGACAACUCACCUUCUCCUGGAUGGGAUGAACCUAUGUUUGGGUUUCCUAACUUUGAGGAACGCCGAAAUUGAAACUCUGCAACUUAAAGACAACAUUGUAAGUCAACCUGGUAUUUGGAAAAUGAAGCACUCAAUCUGGAUGAGUGUGCGCUGAUGCACUUGGGCAAGACAAACAAGGACAAUUCUAACAUCCCAGGGAUCUAUCUGGUGAACCUUCAUUGCACGCUCUUUACUGCCUGGGAAUGGGAAUGGAGGAGAUGAAAAUGGUGCCAAAAGUUGGGCACUAUGAUCUAGGGGUGCUCAUUGGCCAAAUAACAACACUCAGAACAUAUGGGAGACUCGGACAUUUUCGCCCAAAAAUUGCCCAGGAAAAUUCAAUCAGAAGGAAAUCUCAAGUUGAAACGAUGGAACCUGAGGAGCUGAUUCACCAAUCACAGAUACCCAAUGUCUCAAGUACAGAAGGUACUACAACACUGCAUCAGUGAAUAAAUGAAUUCAAAUGAAAAUCUAGCCAUUAAGAAAAUCUCACGAGGAGAAGGGGACCUGGACGUAUUUUGACUUCUCACCAAUUCUGGAUGAUGUGAAGGGAAGGAUUAAUGGUGGGAGGAGAGUCAGUAUAAUGGGCCCUGAUACGUGAGAAGCAUCAGCAUUUCUUACACCAGCCCUGAUGUGUGGUAUAGAUUAUUCAGUACCACCUCCUUAGACUGGGACAAUAAAUGCUAGCUUUGCCAGUGUUGCUGACACCCCAAGAAUUAAUCUAAUAAAUAUUUUACACAACA